This 1945-nucleotide ribosomal RNA is filed under the name Bacillus subtilis. RNAcentral describes it as "bacterial LSU rRNA". It matches the Rfam family "Bacterial large subunit ribosomal RNA", at positions 1 to 1957 of the family's 2925-position model. Lineage: Bacteria; Bacillati; Bacillota; Bacilli; Caryophanales; Bacillaceae. The record is from RNAcentral.
GGGUUGUGAGGUUAAGCGACUAAGCGUACACGGUGGAUGCCCAGGCAGUCAGAGGCGAUGAAGGACGUGCUAAUCUGCGUAAAGCGACGGUAAGGUGAUAUGAACCGCUACAGCCGUCGAUGUCCGAAUGGGGAAACCCGGUGCACUCUGUGCAUCAUUGCAGCAUGAAUACAUAGUGCUGCAAGGCGAACCGGGGGAACUGAAACAUCUAAGUACCCCGAGGAAAAGAAAUCAACCGAGAUUCCCCCAGUAGCGGCGAGCGAACGGGGAGCAGCCCAGAGCCUGAAUCAGCUUGUGUGUUAGUGGAAGCGUCUGGAAAGUCGCAGGGUACAGGGUGAUACUCCCGUACACAAAAGCACACAUGCUGUGAGCUCGAUGAGUAAGGCGGGACACGUGGUAUCCUGUCUGAAUAUGGGGGGACCAUCCUCCAAGGCUAAAUACUCCUGACUGACCGAUAGUGAACCAGUACCGUGAGGGAAAGGCGAAAAGAACCCCGGCGAGGGGAGUGAAACAGAACCUGAAACCGUGUACGUACAAGCAGUGGGAGCCUUCUUUAUGGGGGUGACUGCGUACCUUUUGUAUAAUGGGUCAGCGACUUAUAUUCUGUAGCAAGGUUAACCGUAUAGGGGAGCCGCAGGGAAACCGAGUCUUAACUGGGCGUUAAGUUGCAGGGUAUAGACCCGAAACCCGGUGAUCUAGCCAUGGGCAGGUUGAAGGUUGGGUAACACUAACUGGAGGACCGAACCGACUAAUGUUGAAAAAUUAGCGGAUGACCUGUGGCUGGGGGUGAAAGGCCAAUCAAACCGGGAGAUAGCUGGUUCUCCCCGAAAGCUAUUUAGGUAGCGCCUCGUGAACUCAUCUUCGGGGGUAGAGCACUGUUUCGGCUAGGGGGCCAUCCCGGCUUACCAACCCGAUGCAAACUGCGAAUACCGAAGAAUGUUAUCACGGGAGACACACGGCGGGUGCUAACGUCCGUCGUGAAGAGGGAAACAACCCAGACCGCCAGCUAAGGUCCCAAAGUCAUGGUUAAGUGGGAAACGAUGUGGGAAGGCACAGACAGCCAGGAUGUUGGCUUAGAAGCAGCCAUCAUUUAAAGAAAGCGUAAUAGCUCACUGGUCGAGUCGGCCUGCGCGGAAGAUGUAACGGGGCUAAACCAUGCACCGAAGCUGCGGCAGCGACGCUUAUGCGUUGUUGGGUAGGGGAGCGUUCUGUAAGCCGUCGAAGGUGUGCUGUGAGGCAUGCUGGAGGUAUCAGAAGUGCGAAUGCUGACAUAAGUAACGAUAAAGCGGGUGAAAAGCCCGCUCGCCGGAAGACCAAGGGUUCCUGUUCAACGUUAAUCGGAGCAGGGUGAGUCGACCCCUAAGGCGAGGCCGAAAGGCGUAGUCGAUGGGAAACAGGUUAAUAUUCCUGUACUCGGUGUUACUGCGAAGGGGGGACGGAGAAGGCUAUAUCAGCCGGGCGACGGUUGUCCCGGUUUAAGCGUGUAGGCGGAGCGUCCAGGUAAAUCCGGAUGCUUGUUAACGCUGAGGCGUGACGACGAGGCACUACGGUGCUGAAGUGAUAAAUGCCCAGCUUCCAGGAAAAGCCUCUAAGCAUCAGGUAACACAGAAUCGUACCCCAAACCGACACAGGUGGUCAGGUAGAGAAUACCAAGGCGCUUGAGAGAACUCGGGUGAAGGAACUAGGCAAAAUGGUGCCGUAACUUCGGGAGAAGGCACGCUGGCGCGUAGGUGGAGGGACUUGCUCCCCGAGCCGAAGCCAGUCGAAGAUACCAGCUGGCUGCAACUGUUUAUUAAAAACACAGCACUGUGCAAACACGAAAGUGGACGUAUACGGUGUGACGCCUGCCCGGUGCCGGAAGGUUAAUUGAUGGGGUUAUCCGCAAGGAGAAGCUCUUGAUCGAAGCCCCGGUAAACGGCGGCCGUAACUAUAACGGUCCUAAGGU